UAGCCCGGAGAAAUCCGGAUUAACACCGCAUGACACUGCUUUCCGGCAUCGGGAGGUAGUCAAAUAUUCAUAGGAUAUGGAUGGGCUCGCGUGACAUUAGCUAGUUGGUGGGGUAACGGCCCACCAAGGCGACGAUGUCUAGGGGCUCUGAGAGGAGAAUCCCCCACACUGGUACUGAGACACGGACCAGACUCCUACGGGAGGCAGCAGUAAGGAAUAUUGGUCAAUGGGGGCAACCCUGAACCAGCCAUGCCGCGUGCAGGACGACUGCCCUAUGGGUUGUAAACUGCUUUUGUUAGGGAAUAAACCCCGCUACGUGUAGCGGGCUGAAUGUACCUAAAGAAUAAGGAUCGGCUAACUCCGUGCCAGCAGCCGCGGUAAUACGGAGGAUCCGAGCGUUAUCCGGAUUUAUUGGGUUUAAAGGGUGCGUAGGCGGCACUUUAAGUCAGGGGUGAAAGACGGCAGCUCAACUGUCGCAGUGCCCUUGAUACUGAAGUGCUUGAAUGCGGUUGAAGACGGCGGAAUGAGACAAGUAGCGGUGAAAUGCAUAGAUAUGUCUCAGAACACCGAUUGCGAAGGCAGCUGUCUAAGCCGUUAUUGACGCUGAUGCACGAAAGCGUGGGGAUCGAACAGGAUUAGAUACCCUGGUAGUCCACGCCCUAAACGAUGAUGACUCGAUGUUUGCGAUAUACCGUAAGCGUCCAAGCGAAAGCGUUAAGUCAUCCACCUGGGGAGUACGCCCGCAAGGGUGAAACUCAAAGGAAUUGACGGGGGCCCGCA
Molecule: ribosomal RNA, 780 nt
Filed under: Flavobacterium sp. YL-10
Lineage: Bacteria; Pseudomonadati; Bacteroidota; Flavobacteriia; Flavobacteriales; Flavobacteriaceae
Description: bacterial SSU rRNA
Rfam family: Bacterial small subunit ribosomal RNA
Source: RNAcentral